Long non-coding RNA from Syngnathoides biaculeatus (alligator pipefish), 529 nucleotides. RefSeq lists it as uncharacterized. Lineage: Eukaryota; Metazoa; Chordata; Actinopteri; Syngnathiformes; Syngnathidae. The record is from RefSeq and is a predicted model, not a curated record. The transcript has 2 exons.
CUUUGCCAGAUUGUUGCUGUCCAUGCCUCGUUCCCGCACCUCCUUAUUCCUGAACUCCUGUGUACCGACCUCCGCCUGUCCUCCGACCAACCCCGAAGUGUGGCUCGAUUCUCUCUCUCUCUCUCUCUCUCUCUCUCUCUCUCUCGCUCUCUCAGGUUUCGAGUGGUGGAUUCAGUUUACCCGCAGCUGCUAUGAAAGCAGUCUCGCUUGUGGGAUGCAUGUUUCAUGGGUUGUCUUAGGAACCAGCUCCACGAGCCGUGCGUCGGUGGAUGCAACUCCACCCACGAGGAGGGAGGCUGGAGGGGAAUAGCAGACUGGCAUGAUUGCUGCUUCAAGAGCUCACGAGCAUUGGACGACAGCAGAUUUUCACUGGCACUUUGUAGCAGGGAUUUAUUUAUGCCUCCAAACAUAUAUUUGUGAUGACUGAAGUGGAUUAGAAACUUGCCUAGAAGCUGCAAAUGUUGGUGCGAUGUAUCCAGACACAACACAGAGCGAGAGAGAGUGUGCGUGCGUGCGUGCGAGAGUGUAC